RNAcentral lists this non-coding RNA (27 nucleotides) under Rattus norvegicus (Norway rat). The record is from RNAcentral. Lineage: Eukaryota; Metazoa; Chordata; Mammalia; Rodentia; Muridae.
UGCCUGGCGUUCUUCAACCUGAGUAGU